RNAcentral lists this long non-coding RNA (460 nucleotides) under Ananas comosus (pineapple). RNAcentral's name for it is "long non-coding RNA (ACOM_LNC022482)". The record is from RNAcentral. Lineage: Eukaryota; Viridiplantae; Streptophyta; Magnoliopsida; Poales; Bromeliaceae.
AAUCUGACCCCCAGGGUAUGCCAGAUCCACCACAAAUAACAUAAAUAUAGGGAGUCUAUUGUUCACACGGACAGAGUCUCCCUAUAUUUGCACGGCGUCGCACUAGUACAAGAUACAUAACACAGGAUACAACCACUACAUAUGAAUAUACACGCAUUCAUACACCAUUCAUAUUCAGAUUCACAUUCAGAAUUUAUCCAUAAAUCCACAACUAUUAGUUUAAAAACUAUUAGUUUAAAAUGUUUCCUAUCCGGAAACUCGUUUUGAAAUACUAAGUCAUGACAACCAAGAAAAAAUCUUUUAAAAACUAUUUUCCACAUGAAAAUUUUUUCCUUUUAAAACAUACUACCACGAAAGGCAGAAAAUCAUUUUCAGUUUACAAGAAUCACAAAUCCUUUAUUACAUUCAUGAAAACCCAAAUAUUCAAAUGUAAUAAAAUACUGAACCAUAAUUGCUGUCU